Molecule: ribosomal RNA, 344 nt
Filed under: Ixodes arboricola
Lineage: Eukaryota; Metazoa; Arthropoda; Arachnida; Ixodida; Ixodidae
Description: partial 12S ribosomal RNA
Source: RNAcentral
AUUAUUUUAAGCUAAAUAUUGUUAGUAGAUAAAUAUUAUGAAAUCAUAAGAUUUUGGCGGUAUUUUAAGCUUUUUAGAGGAAUUUGCUCUGUAAUGGAUAAAACGCCCUGAUCUUACUUAAUUUUGUUAAUUCAAUUUGUAUACCACUAUAUUUAAUUAUAUUGAAUGAUAAUAUUUAAUAAUUUUUUUUUUAAAAAUUAUAUUAAGUCAAGGUGCAGUAUAAAAUUAUGAAUGAAGUGAAUUACAAUGAUUAUAAUUGAAAUAUAUAUGAAAAAUUUAAUUUAGGAUUUAAAAGUAAAAUAUUAAUAUAAUGAGUGUUUGAAUAAAGCUCUGGAAUAUGCACA